GAUGAACGCUAGCUACAGGCUUAACACAUGCAAGUCGAGGGGAAACGACAUCGACAGCUUGCUUUUGAUGGGCGUCGACCGGCGCACGGGUGAGUAACGCGUAUCCAACCUGCCCACCACUUGGGGAUAACCUUGCGAAAGUAAGACUAAUACCCAAUGACGUCUCUAGAAGACAUCUGAAAGAGAUUAAAGAUUUAUCGGUGAUGGAUGGGGAUGCGACUGAUUAGCUUGUUGGCGGGGUGACGGCCAACCAAGGCGACGAUCAGUAGGGGGUCCGAGGGGAAGGUCCCCCAAAGUGGACCUGAGACACGGUCCAAACUCCUACGGGAGGCAGAAGUGAGGAAUAUUGGUCAAUGGGCGAGAGCCUGAACCAGCCAAGUAGCGUGCAGGAUGACGGCCCUAUGGGUUGUAAAGUGCGUUUAUAAGGGAAUAAAGUGGGAGUCGUGACUCCUUUUGCAUGUACCUUAUGAAUAAGGACCGGCUAAUUCCGUGCCAGCCGCCGCGGUAA
RNAcentral lists this ribosomal RNA (508 nucleotides) under uncultured bacterium. Its description in RNAcentral is "partial 16S ribosomal RNA". It matches the Rfam family "Bacterial small subunit ribosomal RNA", at positions 28 to 523 of the family's 1533-position model. The record is from RNAcentral.